AUCAGUGUCUUAAACUCACCGAGAUCUUCACUGUGGAUCUUUAUUUCUAUUCAGAUUCUGGAUAUUUCUACAUCUCCAUUCAUCACAGUCUCUGGUGAUCCAGACGGAGCAGUGAAGAGUCGUUCUGAUCAAUCAGAGAAAACAUCAUACUUCACUUUCAGUUAGAAUCAGGAGAAGUAUUUGUUCAAGUUUUACUGCAAAUCUAAUCACACUGAGGUUAUCUGAACUUACUGUACCUUGACUUUAAUUCAGCUCUGUAUGAUUUAACAGAUACAUAUUCAGUGUAGAAAUGAAAUAAUGCACAGAGAAAACAGCUGGAGCGUCAGAAACUACAGACGAGUAAAAACAACAGGACAGAGAGAGAAAUGAAGGACAGAAAUAAAACACAAACCACUGGAUCUCAAGAGAAAAGCAGACGGAGACUUGAUAGAUGGGACAGUAUGAAGAGACUAAAACCAAAAUUCUCAGAUGAUCCAGACGGGCCUGAAAAGAUUAUUUCAGAUGAUCUCAAGAACACAACACACCAGCAGCUGAAGACUGAGCAUCAUCAUCAUCAUCAUCAUCAUCAUCUUAGCUCCUGGACUCUUUCAGUGUUUACAGACUCAUCUGAUCACACACAGACUAAUGAUUGUUCCCUUCAGUAAACAGCUCUGUUGAAUGAAAGCAAAGGGAAAAAAGGAAAUGAAAGGACGUCAUGUGUAGAUGAUCAGCUCAAGCUCAAACUUGCUCGAGAGCAUCUUGUGUCAUGUGAACAGGAUUAGAUCGCAUCUUUAAACCAGAACUGAUCCGUAGAAUAUGUCCGCUGCCAUCGCUACUUUAUUACAAGAUCCUACUGAUCUAGACAAUAGUUUAAAAUAAUAAUAAUUUGAAAAUAUAUUUAAAGAUAGUUUAAUGUUGUGUAGUCCAUAAUAGCCUAAUAUGGACACAGCCAGUUUUACUCACUGAAAUAUUUAUUCAUCAUAAAAUAAUUGCUUCCUAAUAGUCUUGCACACAGAUAAUGUAGAGUUGUGAAUUAAUUUGAGUAAUGAUGAUAUUGUGGGCGGGGCUUGAUGGAGCAGGAGAUGCAGAGAACAUGAUCUUGACCCUUAAGAAACUUUCAUUAAUGCUGUCACGUAACAACUGGAUCCCAAUCAACUCUUCACUAUAAACUCAUUCCACAAUGUGCACUCAAUCAUCAGUAAUGAGUUUGCAGAAUUGGACAAGCAAUCACAAGGGCCUGCAUCUACACAGUGCAGAAUCCUGUAAAUAGUCUGAAAAGUUGGUACAGUAUUUGGGGCCAUAGACACAGUGUCUGAUGAAGCAUUAUGAUCAAAUAUUAGGCUACAUCCAUGGAUAUUGUAGUCUAAUUGGUUCAUUCUCCACGCUAAUUGGUGACAAUGAAUCUCAUUAUCUUGAAACGUUCAUGAUUUACAGUAAACAUGGAAGAUUGUUUGUCUGUUUCCAUACAACUAUGCAUUAAGAGUAAUGCAACAGUUUCUUAUCAUUUUGAGCAGUUGUAUCAAUUGAUAGUUAGAUCAUUGCAAGGAAAUGAAUAGACACUCAUUUGGAAUGUAAUGUGUGAAUUGCCUUUUGAAAGAUUAGCACUUUGAUGUUAAGUUGUGUCAUAUUGAACAGGUGAUUUUUGUUGAAUGAACAAAUGAUCUAAGUUUUAUGUGGAUUGUAUCCAAGCAAUUGAGAAAAGGGUUAGAGUUUUGAAAAAUGACAACAAGGUUCUGAAAAUAGUAACAAAGUGAUUGUAAAGAACUGUAAUUUCCUGUCCUAUUGUGUGUUUAUGUUACUGCGUAUGACAGCUUUUUAGU
Carassius auratus (goldfish) is the source of this 1799-nucleotide long non-coding RNA. RefSeq lists it as uncharacterized. The record is from RefSeq and is a predicted model, not a curated record. Lineage: Eukaryota; Metazoa; Chordata; Actinopteri; Cypriniformes; Cyprinidae. The transcript is spliced from 3 exons.